UAUCAGAGUUAAUUUUUAUCAUUAAAGAGAGUAUUGAAGUUUGAUUAUAACUUAAUAUUAUAUUUAUUUACAUAACCUACAAUGUGCAGUUUUAUUAAUUCAUUUGCAAGACAAUGUAGAAUAUAUGUUCCAUUUCUUUUUUUUUCAUGAAGGAAGAGCUUGAUGAAAUAGUCAGUGCCUGGAAUUGCCACAGGAUACGGCCAACUCACAACCCACGUGCUCCCAGUGGUCGACCUUCAAUAAUGUUUGCUGUUCCCAGUUUAUAUGGAGUGCAGAAUUUCUUGCAUCCAGUUGAACAAACAAAACUGAGCAUUUGCCAAGAGGAGUGUUUAUUUAAAGACUACCCUUGUGAUGAGGAUGUCUUUCAACUGUGUGUAGAACUCAUGGCUGAGCAUAACCUUGUCAUGUCAGAUGAUGUUUAUGAAAUUACGGACCUUUACCUUCAACUUCGUGAACUGAUCCUUCAAGGACUGGAUUUGGAGGAAUAGAUUCACCAUUCUAAUCUAAUCUACAACAUUCACUAUAAGCUAAAGAUGUUGAACUGCAGCCUUACUCUCCCUACCCAAGCAACCUUGGACCACUGGAUGGAAUCGCAAAGCUUUUGGCAUCACAUGCCAGUGUGUUUUUAAUCCAAUCAUAGUCUCAAAACAAGUUUCUGAGUUCAAAGGCUCUGCAAUCCCCAUCCUUACUUCCAUUGUGCUAUCUCUAUCUCUAUCAAGAUUAAGGAUUUAACCAUUAUCCACUGUAUGAAGCCCUGCAACCUCUAAAGCACCCAGACUCAGGCUCCAUGAGCCUACUCUGAGGAUCCAGAUGGAAAAACAUUUACAUCCCAUCAUUAUAUACACCCCUCAGGAUCACCUUGUCUAUUAGACACAUUACUCAAGGUACAGUAAAUAAUCUCCAUUAUAAAUCAGUGCAUGAUGAUAUAAAAUCACAGUGAUGUUGCUUUGUGUUUUCAGAGGGCAGAAAUAAUUUGUUCCAUACCAUCCUCAUAUCUAUCCUCAUGUGCAAAGGAGGCCAGCAUAAUGUCAAAUCAAGAUCUUAUUUGUGAUCUGUUUGUUUUCAGUCUUAUAGCAUGGCAAAAGCACAACCCUCAGAAUUAAAGGGGAAAAUGCACAAGCAUCUAGAUGUAAUGAAUACUAAAAAAAAGACUAUUUUUUAAUGUAUAAACUAAGUUUUUCCAACUACAGUAAUGUAAAUUUUUUUGCAUGAUUUCAAACAUUUUUGUGAUACACUAUCAUUACUUUCAGGCCUAACCUGAAUACAAAUGAAGCACAGCAAACCUGUUUUAGAUGUACAAGACAAUGUUUUGAACCUCAAAACUAAAG
This is a long non-coding RNA of Cyprinus carpio carpio, 1328 nucleotides long. The record is from Ensembl. Lineage: Eukaryota; Metazoa; Chordata; Actinopteri; Cypriniformes; Cyprinidae.